Molecule: long non-coding RNA, 811 nt
Filed under: Parus major (Great Tit)
Lineage: Eukaryota; Metazoa; Chordata; Aves; Passeriformes; Paridae
Description: lncRNA (ENSPMJG00000017072.1)
Source: RNAcentral
CUCCGUGCAUGUUAUGGCACCUUUGGGAUGUGUUAGUCAUAAGAAUGAAGCUACUGGUGCUUUGCAGGAAUAUUUUCACUCUGGCUCUCGCAGGAGAGCUCUGACACAGCCCUGCUGUCGGCACGGCUGGGGCGCGUUUGCUCGCUGGUGCCUCCUGAGAUUCCAGACCGCUCCAAAAAAACAGGGGGAAACAUCCAAUUUUUAUUUCCUCAGGGAACACUAAGAAAAUUUUUCUUUCCGAGCCUGUCUCCUGAAACGAGCUCCAGGAGUGGUCACAACCUGCCAUAAAAAUGCCAUGUGCAAGAGAAUAUAUUUAAUAUCGGGCAAGCAGAAUGGAACGAUACGAUCUGUUUGGGGUUGGAAGCUUUUCCAGGCAAAGGAGGAUCUGCUCCAUCACCAUCUGUGCAGCCGCUGGCAGGGGCAGCUCCCCAGCCACACCAAAGGAAUUCCCCGAGCCCAAAAACACCCCAGGCAUCGCCUUUGUGAAGGACAGAACUUCACAAAGUCCAUCCCACUGAUGGAUGACAGAGGGAGGAUCUGCAGCCUGAGAGGAUCCCUUGGGAUGGCCCUGACUGCCUUGGUGACACCAUCUGAAUUACACUUCCCCUUUCAUCAGACUCCUGGCAUCACAAAAAGAGCCUCUGUGAAAACCCAUCCCUGUGUUCCUGCCUCUCUUGGAAUUGUGUUUGGCACUGGAUGAACUUCUUUGGUAAAAGCAGGAAAAUUUUGUGUGAAUCCCUGAAAAUAUUGUGAAAACCCUUAGAAAAUAUUCCUUCUGUGUGGAGUUCUUCUGUUCACAGGCUGGAUAUUC